This 1176-nucleotide ribosomal RNA is filed under the name uncultured bacterium. Its description in RNAcentral is "bacterial SSU rRNA". It matches the Rfam family "Bacterial small subunit ribosomal RNA", at positions 187 to 1387 of the family's 1533-position model. The record is from RNAcentral.
GGCAUCGAGCAGAGGGAAAAAGGAGCAAUCCGCUUUGAGAUGGCCUCGCGUCCGAUUAGCUAGUUGGUGAGGUAACGGCCCACCAAGGCGACGAUCGGUAGCCGGACUGAGAGGUUGAACGGCCACAUUGGGACUGAGACACGGCCCAGACUCCUACGGGAGGCAGCAGUGGGGAAUAUUGCACAAUGGGGGAAACCCUGAUGCAGCGACGCCGCGUGGAGGAAGAAGGUCUUCGGAUUGUAAACUCCUGUUGUUGAGGAAGAUAAUGACGGUACUCAACAAGGAAGUGACGGCUAACUACGUGCCAGCAGCCGCGGUAAAACGUAGGUCACAAGCGUUGUCCGGAAUUACUGGGUGUAAAGGGAGCGCAGGCGGGAGAACAAGUUGGAAGUGAAAUCCAUGGGCUCAACCCAUGAACUGCUUUCAAAACUGUUUUUCUUGAGUAGUGCAGAGGUAGGCGGAAUUCCCGGUGUAGCGGUGGAAUGCGUAGAUAUCGGGAGGAACACCAGUGGCGAAGGCGGCCUACUGGGCACCAACUGACGCUGAGGCUCGAAAGUGUGGGUAGCAAGCAGGAUUAGAUACCCUGGUAGUCCACACCGUAAACGAUGAUUACUAGGUGUUGGAGGAUUGACCCCCUCAGUGCCGCAGUUAACACAAUAAGUAAUCCACCUGGGGAGUACGACCGCAAGGUUGAAACUCAAAGGAAUUGACGGGGGCCCGCACAAGCAGUGGAGUAUGUGGUUUAAUUCGACGCAACGCGAAGAACCUUACCAAGUCUUGACAUCCUGCGACGCACAUAGAAAUAUGUGUUUCCUUCGGGACGCAGAGACAGGUGGUGCAUGGUUGUCGUCAGCUCGUGUCGUGAGAUGUUGGGUUAAGUCCCGCAACGAGCGCAACCCUUAUGGUCAGUUACUACGCAAGAGGACUCUGGCCAGACUGCCGUUGACAAAACGGAGGAAGGUGGGGAGGACGUCAAAUCAUCAUGCCCUUUAUGACUUGGGCUACACACGUACUACAAUGGCGUUAAACAAAGAGAAGCAAGACCGCGAGGUGGAGCAAAACUCAGAAACAACGUCCCAGUUCGGACUGCAGGCUGCAACUCGCCUGCACGAAGUCGGAAUUGCUAGUAAUCGUGGAUCAGCAUGCCACGGUGAAUACAAUCCCGGGCCUUGCACA